AUCUUUCUAGUAUCAAGCGAGUACAUGUGACUUCCAAUCACUUAGUCUUGGUUAAAGCCCAAGGAAAGAUA
RNAcentral lists this transfer RNA (71 nucleotides) under Heterotilapia buettikoferi. Its description in RNAcentral is "tRNA-Gly". It matches the Rfam family "tRNA". From Rfam's summary of the family: Transfer RNA (tRNA) molecules are approximately 80 nucleotides in length. Lineage: Eukaryota; Metazoa; Chordata; Actinopteri; Cichliformes; Cichlidae. The record is from RNAcentral.